Molecule: ribosomal RNA, 522 nt
Filed under: Triticum aestivum (bread wheat)
Lineage: Eukaryota; Viridiplantae; Streptophyta; Magnoliopsida; Poales; Poaceae
Description: partial small subunit ribosomal RNA
Source: RNAcentral
CUAAGUCACUUGUUAUUUGCUGAUGACAGCCUGCUAUUUUGUAAGGCAAGUAGUGCUGGUGCUGAAGAGGUGAACCUGGUAUUGAAUAGUUACUGUGAAGCUUCGGGCCAAUGGAUUAACCUUGCGAAAUCAUCUAUCUAUUUCAGUAAGUGUGUUCUUGAUAGCAUUCGGGAAGUGAUCAAAGAUUCUCUCAAUGUUCCAAAUGAAACACUCAAUGAGAAGUAUCUGGGCAUGCCAUCUGACAUAGGAAAUUCAAAGAAUGGGGCUUUCAAAUAUCUAAAGGACUGUUUGUGGAGCAAAGUGCAGGGUUGGCUAGAGAAUACUAUGUCAAUAGCGGGUAAAGAGGUGCUGGUUAAAGCAGUGGCACAAGCUGUACCGGUCUUCUCCAUGUCUUGCUUCAAGUUACCAAGGAACUUGUGUGAACAUCUUAAUAUGCUCAUAAGAAAAUUCUGGUGGGGUUCGAAGGAAGGCAAGAGAAAACCUCACUGGGUGUCUUGGAAGUCUAUGACAGAGCCAAAAGGU